CUUGAUCGAGCCGAGCCACAGCGGCUCACCCGCACGGUCCUGGCCGUAGGCGGCGAGGAGCGCCUGGGCCUC
RNAcentral lists this antisense RNA (72 nucleotides) under Streptomyces alboflavus. RNAcentral's name for it is "ASpks TB sRNA". It matches the Rfam family "ASpks TB sRNA". Lineage: Bacteria; Bacillati; Actinomycetota; Actinomycetes; Kitasatosporales; Streptomycetaceae. The record is from Rfam by way of RNAcentral.